CGGAAUUACUGGGCGUAAAGCGCGCGUAGGUGGCUUGAUAAGCCGGUUGUGAAAGCCCCGGGCUCAACCUGGGAACGGCAUCCGGAACUGUCAAGCUAGAGUGCAGGAGAGGAAGGUAGAAUUCCCGGUGUAGCGGUGAAAUGCGUAGAGAUCGGGAGGAAUACCAGUGGCGAAGGCGGCCUUCUGGAYUGACACUGACACUGAGGUGCGAAAGCGUGGGUAGCAAACAGGAUUAGAUACCCUGGUAGUCCACGCCGUAAACGAUGUCGACCAGCCGUUGGGUGCCUAGCGCACUUUGUGGCGAAGUUAACGCGAUAAGUCGACCGCCUGGGGAGUACGGCCGCAAGGUUAAAACUCAAAUGAAUUGACGGGGGCCCGCACAAGCGGUGGAGCAUGUGGUUUAAUUCGAUGCAACGCGAAGAACCUUACCUACUCUUGACAUCCUGCGAAUUCGGUAGAGAUACCUUAGUGCCUUCGGGAACGCAGAGACAGGUGCUGCAUGGCUGUCGUCAGCUCGUGUUGUGAAAUGUUGGGUUAAGUCCCGUAACGAGCGCAACCCUUGUCCUUAUUUGCCAGCGCGUAAUGGCGGGAACUCUAAGGAGACUGCCGGUGACAAACCGGAGGAAGGUGGGGACGACGUCAAGUCAUCAUGGCCCUUACGAGUAGGGCUACGCACGUGCUACAAUGGUCGGUACAAAGGGUUGCCAACUCGCGAGAGUGAGCCAAUCCCGAAAAGCCGAUCUCAGUCCGGAUCGGAGUCUGCAACUCGACUCCGUGAAGUCGGAAUCGCUAGUAAUCGUGGAUCAGAAUGCCACGGUGAAUACGUUCCCGGGCCUUGUACACACCGCCCGUCACACCAUGGGAGUGGACUGCACCAGAAGUGGUUAGCCUAACGCAAGAGGGCGAUCACCACGGUGUGGUUCAUGACUGGGGUGAAGUCGUAACAAGGUAACCG
Molecule: ribosomal RNA, 955 nt
Filed under: uncultured bacterium
Lineage: Bacteria
Description: bacterial SSU rRNA
Rfam family: Bacterial small subunit ribosomal RNA
Source: RNAcentral